CCUACGGGGGGCAGCAGUGGGGAAUAUUGGACAAUGGGGGGAACCCUGAUCCAGCCAUGCCGCGUGUGUGAAGAAGGCCCUCGGGUUGUAAAGCACUUUCAGUGAGGAAGAACGCCUGGUGGUUAAUACCCAUCAGGAAAGACAUCACUCACAGAAGAAGCACCGGCUAACUCCGUGCCAGCAGCCGCGGUAAUACGGAGGGUGCGAGCGUUAAUCGGAAUUACUGGGCGUAAAGCGCGCGUAGGUGGCUUGAUAAGCCGGUUGUGAAAGCCCCGGGCUCAACCUGGGAACGGCAUCCGGAACUGUCAAGCUAGAGUGCAGGAGAGGAAGGUAGAAUUCCCGGUGUAGCGGUGAAAUGCGUAGCGAUCGGGAGGAAUACCAGUGGCGAAGGCGGCCUUCUGGACUGACACUGACACUGAGGUGCGAAAGCGUGGGUAGCAAACAGGAUUAGAUACCCUGGUAGUC
This 465-nucleotide ribosomal RNA is filed under the name Vreelandella stevensii. RNAcentral's name for it is "partial 16S ribosomal RNA". It matches the Rfam family "Bacterial small subunit ribosomal RNA", at positions 338 to 795 of the family's 1533-position model. Lineage: Bacteria; Pseudomonadati; Pseudomonadota; Gammaproteobacteria; Oceanospirillales; Halomonadaceae. The record is from RNAcentral.